Molecule: ribosomal RNA, 497 nt
Filed under: uncultured bacterium
Lineage: Bacteria
Description: partial 16S ribosomal RNA
Rfam family: Bacterial small subunit ribosomal RNA
Source: RNAcentral
GAUGAACGCUGGCGGCGUGCCUAAUACAUGCAAGUCGAGCGAACAGACGAGGAGCUUGCUCCUCUGACGUUAGCGGCGGACGGGUGAGUAACACGUGGAUAACCUACCUAUAAGACUGGGAUAACUUCGGGAAACCGGAGCUAAUACCGGAUAAUAUAUUGAACCGCAUGGUUCAAUAGUGAAAGACGGUUUUGCUGUCACUUAUAGAUGGAUCCGCGCCGCAUUAGCUAGUUGGUAAGGUAACGGCUUACCAAGGCAACGAUGCGUAGCCGACCUGAGAGGGUGAUCGGCCACACUGGAGCUGGGACACGGUCCAGACUCCUACGGGAGGCAGCAGUAGGGAAUCUUCCGCAAUGGGCGAAAGCUUGACGGAGCAACGCCGCGUGAGUGAUGAAGGUCUUCGGAUCGUAAAGCUCUGUUAUUAGGGAAGAACAAAUGUGUAAGUAACUAUGCACGUCUUGACGGUACCUAAUCAGAAAGCCACGGCUAACUACGUG